Lonchura striata (white-rumped munia) is the source of this 274-nucleotide non-coding RNA. The record is from RefSeq and is a predicted model, not a curated record. NCBI's taxonomy places the organism in Eukaryota, Metazoa, Chordata, Aves, Passeriformes, Estrildidae.
CCAGCCAAAAUCCCGCUCCCGGGGCUCGCUGGAUGCGAGCGGGCGGCGCAGGAGACUGGACGAGUGUUUCACAGGAAAUUGGUCAGUGCAUCCUCUGGCAGGAAUUGGGAAAGGCGCUGCGCUCUGCAAGUCUCCCCGGCAGCUGCCGAAUACAAGCCAGAGAUCUUUCCUAAUUCUUUAUGUCCCUGAGACCUCUUUCCUAUUUCUCUACCUCACAUUUCUUGGUCACUACUAUCUUCAUUAAAAAGAUGUUCAAUAAAAUCCGUGGGUUGCA